UAUUAACAUUUUAAAAGUCACUGAGUGUUAAAUAAAGUACCUUGUGCAUUUCGUAAACUACAAAUGGACAGAUGGACAAUUUUUACAUUGACCUUACUUACAACAGUACUCGGUACAGAAAUCACAUAUGGAGAAGCCAAAGGAGCAUAUCCUAUAUCAGUAGAUUGUACCUAUUAUAAAUGCUUAAAUCUUGGAGUAAACGAUCACUGUAAAGACGUUUGCAAACAUCAUUUUGGAGGUUACGGAUAUUGUUAUGCAUUCAAAUGUUAUUGCGAAGAAUUAAAUCCAAAAUAUGCUCAUUAUUAUAUGAGAUUUAUGCAAAGAGAUCAGGCAGAUAAUUAAUUAUAAAAAAAUAUGUGUAUUAUUAAUAAAAAUGUACGUCGAUAUAUAAUACGCGAACAUUAUUGCAAAUAAAAAUAAAGUAUUUAAAA
This is a long non-coding RNA of Centruroides sculpturatus (bark scorpion), 431 nucleotides long. RefSeq lists it as uncharacterized. The record is from RefSeq and is a predicted model, not a curated record. The transcript has 2 exons. NCBI's taxonomy places the organism in Eukaryota, Metazoa, Arthropoda, Arachnida, Scorpiones, Buthidae.